AUAAAGAACGGGGCGGAAGCACAUUCGGGGAUGAAGCCAAAUAGGACCUCUGAAAAUCCUGAUGUGCCUGAAUCUAGAACAGAGGACAAGGGCAGUACCUCUGCUAUUAAGGAGGAUAAUGAAAUCUCUUCCUCCAGUCACACAGUUGAAGAAACCAAGAAAGAAGAAUUUCGUCCUGCAAAGGAUGAGGAUGGCAUUGUGC
Microtus oregoni (creeping vole) is the source of this 202-nucleotide long non-coding RNA. RefSeq lists it as uncharacterized. The record is from RefSeq and is a predicted model, not a curated record. The transcript is spliced from 4 exons. NCBI's taxonomy places the organism in Eukaryota, Metazoa, Chordata, Mammalia, Rodentia, Cricetidae.